Transfer RNA from Camelus ferus (Wild Bactrian camel), 72 nucleotides. It matches the Rfam family "tRNA". Rfam says of the family: Transfer RNA (tRNA) molecules are approximately 80 nucleotides in length. The record is from Rfam. Lineage: Eukaryota; Metazoa; Chordata; Mammalia; Artiodactyla; Camelidae.
GGUGGUAUAGCUGAGUGGUAAAGUGCAUGCCCAGCAAGCACGAGGUCCUGGGUUCAAUCCCCAGCACCUCCA